RNAcentral lists this ribosomal RNA (468 nucleotides) under uncultured bacterium. RNAcentral's name for it is "partial 16S ribosomal RNA". It matches the Rfam family "Bacterial small subunit ribosomal RNA", at positions 28 to 507 of the family's 1533-position model. The record is from RNAcentral.
GACGAACGCUGGCGGCGUGCUUAACACAUGCAAGUCGAACGGAAAGGCCCUGCUUUUGUGGGGUGCUCGAGUGGCGAACGGGUGAGUAACACGUGAGUAACCUGCCCUCGACUUUGGGAUAACUUCAGGAAACUGUGGCUAAUACCGGAUAGGAGCUCCUGCGGCAUGGUGGGGGCUGGCAAGUUUCGGCGGUUGGGGAUGGACUCGCGGCUUAUCAGCUUGUUGGUGGGGUAGUGGCUUACCAAGGCUUUGACGGGUAGCCGGCCUGAGAGGGUGACCGGCCACCACGGGGGUGAGAUGCGGCCCAGAAUACUACGGGAGGCAGCAGUGGGGAAUAUUGCACAAUGGGCGGAAGCCUGAUGCCGCAACGCCGCGGGGGGGAUGACGGCCUUCGGGUUGUAGACCGCUUUCGCCUGUGACGAAGCGUGAGUGACGGUAAUGGGUAAAGAAGCACCGGCUAACUACGUG